Non-coding RNA from Acanthosepion pharaonis, 91 nucleotides. NCBI's taxonomy places the organism in Eukaryota, Metazoa, Mollusca, Cephalopoda, Sepiida, Sepiidae. The record is from the annotation of a GenBank genome assembly.
AUCGGUUUCCGUACGAUCACUGAAGUUAAGCAGCAUCAAGCCUGGUCAGUACCUAGAUGGGUAACUGCUUCAGAAUACUAGGUGCUGUAAG